AUGUUUUCAGUUAAUACUCUUCAGGGUUUUUCAUUUAGCUCCAUGUUCUUUAUUAACCUGGGUGCCAGUCGUUCUGCUCUCUUUAUUAACCUGGGUGCCAGUCGUUCUGCUGUCUUUAUUAACCUUGGUGUCAGUUGUUCUGCUGUCUUUAUUAACCUGGGUGCCAGUCGUUCUGCUGUCUUUAUUAACCUGGGUGCCAGUCGUUCUGCUGUCUUUAUUAACCUGGGUGCCAGUUGUUCUGCUGUCUUUAUUAACCUGGGUGGCAGUCGUUCUGCUGUCUUUAUUAACCUGGGUGCCAGUUGUUCUGCUGUCUUUAUUAACCUGGGUGCCAGUCGUUCUGCUGUCUUUAUUAACCUUGGUGCCAGUUCUGCUGUCUUUAUUAACCUGGGUGCCAGUUCUGCUGUCUUUAUUAACCUGGGUGCCAGUUCUGCUGUCUUUAUUAACCUGGGUGCCAGUUGUUCUGCUGUCUUUAUUAACCUGGGUGGCAGUCGUUCUGCUGUCUUUAUUAACCUGGGUGCCAGUUGUUCUGCUGUCUUUAUUAACCUGGGUGCCAGUCGUUCUGCUGUCUUUAUUAACCUGGGUGCCAGUUGUUCUGCUGUCUUUAUUAACCUGGGUGCCAGUUGUUCUGCUGUCUUUAUUAACCUGGGUGCCAGUUCUGCUCUCUUUAUUAACCUGGGUGCCAGUUGUUCUGCUCUCUUUAUUAACCUGGGUGCCAGUUGUUCUGCUCUCUUUAUUAACCUGGGUGCCAGUCGUUCUGCUGUCUUUAUUAACCUGGGUGCCAGUCGUUCUGCUGUCUUUAUUAACCUGGGUGCCAGUCGUUCUGCUGUCUUUAUUAACCUGGGUGCCAGUCGUUCUGCUGUCUUUAUUAACCUGGGUGCCAGUCGUUCUGCUCUCUUUAUUAACCUGGGUGCCAGUCGUUCUGCUGUCUUUAUUAACCUGGGUGCCAGUCAUUCUGCUGUCUUUAUUAACCUGGGUGCCAGUCGUUCUUCUGUCUUUAUUAACCUGGGUGCCAGUCGUUCUGCUGUCUUUAUUAACCUGGGUGCCAGUUCUGCUCUCUUUAUUAACCUGGGUGCCAGUCGUUCUGCUCUCUUUAUUAACCUGGGUGCCAGUUGUUCUGCUCUCUUUAUUAACCUGGGUGCUAGUCGUUCUGCUGUCUUUAUUAACCUGGGUGCCAGUCGUUCUGCUGUCUUUAUUAACCUGGGUGCCAGUUCUGCUGUCUUUAUUAACCUGGGUGCCAGUCGUUCUGCUGUCUUUAUUAACCUGGGUGCCAGUUCUGCUCUCUUGUCUUUAUUAACCUGGGUGCCAGUUCUGCUGUCUUUAUUAACCUGGGUGCCAGUCGUUCUGCUGUCUUUAUUAACCUGGGUGCCAGUCGUUCUGCUGUCUUUAUUAACCUGGGUGCCAGUCGUUCUGCUGUCUUUAUU
This is a long non-coding RNA of Salmo trutta (river trout), 1421 nucleotides long. Lineage: Eukaryota; Metazoa; Chordata; Actinopteri; Salmoniformes; Salmonidae. The record is from Ensembl.